This 2118-nucleotide ribosomal RNA is filed under the name Loktanella salsilacus. RNAcentral's name for it is "bacterial LSU rRNA". It matches the Rfam family "Bacterial large subunit ribosomal RNA", at positions 1 to 2188 of the family's 2925-position model. The record is from RNAcentral. Lineage: Bacteria; Pseudomonadati; Pseudomonadota; Alphaproteobacteria; Rhodobacterales; Roseobacteraceae.
AAAUCAAGCGCGAAAAGGGCGUUUGGUGGAUGCCUUGGCAGUAAGAGGCGAUGAAGGACGUGAUACUCUGCGAUAAGUCAUGGGGAGCUGAGAAUAAGCUUUGAUCCAUGAAUUUCCGAAUGGGGCAACCCACCUGAUACUUUGUUGUUAUUGCGAUUUAGGUCGCAGCUAACAGCGGGGUUAACCAGGUAUUUCUAGACUGAAUACAUAGGUUUAGAAAAGCAAACCCGGGGAACUGAAACAUCUAAGUACCCGGAGGAAAGGAAAUCAACAGAUACUCCCCUAGUAGCGGCGAGCGAACGGGGACCAGCCGAGCCAUGAGAGUGACAAGAAUAUCCUGGAAAGGAUAGCCAGAGUGGGUGACAGCCCCGUAUUGGAAGCUCAAUUGGACGUAUUAAGUAGGGCGGGACACGUGAAAUCCUGUCUGAACAUCGGAGGACCACCUUCGAAGGCUAAGUACUCCUUACUGACCGAUAGCGAACCAGUACCGUGAGGGAAAGGUGAAAAGCACCCCGACGAGGGGAGUGAAACAGUUCCUGAAACCGAACGCCUACAAGCAGUUGGAGGGUCCUUUAUUGAGGCCUGACAGCGUACCUUUUGUAUAAUGGGUCAUCGACUUGGUCUCACAAGCAAGCUUAAGCCGUUAGGUGUAGGCGCAGCGAAAGCGAGUCUUAAUAGGGCGAUUGAGUUUGUGGGAUCAGACCCGAAACCGAGUGAUCUAGGCAUGUCCAGGAUGAAGGUUAGGUAACACUAACUGGAGGUCCGAACCCACACCUGUUGAAAAAGGUCGGGAUGAGGUGUGCCUAGGGGUGAAAGGCCAAUCAAACUCGGAGAUAGCUGGUUCUCUGCGAAAUCUAUUUAGGUAGAGCGUCGUCCGAAUACCCUCGGGGGUAGAGCACUGGAUGGGUAAUGGGGCCUUACCGGCUUACUGAUCCUAACCAAACUCCGAAUACCGAGGAGUACUAGACGGCAGACACACAUCGGGUGCUAACGUCCGGUGUGAAAAGGGAAACAACCCUGACCUACGACUAAGGCCCCUAAUUCAUGGCUAAGUGGGAAAGCAGGUGGGACGACCAAAACAACCAGGAGGUUGGCUUAGAAGCAGCCAUCCUUUAAAGAUAGCGUAACAGCUCACUGGUCUAAAUAAGUUGUCCUGCGGCGAAGAUGUAACGGGGCUCAAGCCAUGAGCCGAAGUCUAGGGUGUAUAGCAAUAUACGCGGUAGCAGAGCGUAGUGUGACAUAGUUCCUUGUCUCUUUAGCAGUUUAGGCUGCUUUGGAGACGUGGAGCUUUCUGUGAAGCCCCCCUGUGAGGGAUGGGGUGGAGAGAUCACUAGUGAGAAUGAUGACAUGAGUAGCGACAAAGGGAGUGAGAGACUCCCUCGCCGAAAGUCCAAGGGUUCCUGCUUAAAGCUAAUCUGAGCAGGGUAAGCCGACCCCUAAGGCGAGGCCGAAAGGCGUAGUCGAUGGGAACCAGGUUAAUAUUCCUGGGCCGUGGAGUGGUGACGGAUCUGAGACGUAGUUCAUCCUUAUCGGAUUGAAUGGGCUGCUAACAGGUUCCUGGAAAUAGCCCUCCUUUAAGAUCGUACCCUAAACCGACACAGGUGGACUGGUAGAGAAUACCAAGGCGCUUGAGAGAACCACAUUUAAGGAACUCGGCAAAAUACCUCCGUAAGUUCGCGAGAAGGAGGCCCGUUCAGAACGCAAGUUUUGGGCGGGGGCACAAACCAGGGGGUGGCGACUGUUUACUAAAAACACAGGGCUCUGCGAAGUCGUAAGACGACGUAUAGGGUCUGACGCCUGCCCGGUGCCUGAAGGUUAAAAGGAGGAGUGCAAGCUCCGAAUUGAAGCCCAGGUAAACGGCGGCCGUAACUAUAACGGUCCUAAGGUAGCGAAAUUCCUUGUCGGGUAAGUUCCGACCUGCACGAAUGGCGUAACGACUUCCCCGCUGUCUCAAAUGUGGACUCAGCGAAAUUGAAUUGCCUGUCAAGAUGCAGGCUACCCGCGGUUAGACGGAAAGACCCCAUGCACCUUUACUACAACUUUACAUUGGCAUCAGGUACAGCAUGCGCAGGAUAGGUGGUAGGCUUUGAAGCCGGGACUCUGGUCUCGGUGGAGCCU